GUGAAUCAUCAAAUCUUUGAACGCAAAUUGCACUUUCUGGUAUUCCGGAAAGUAUGCCUGUUUGAGGGUCAGUUAAAUUAAAAUCGGUGUUGUUGCUACCCGUAGUGGUGUGUGAUGCAUCGGAAUUGAGUCGUUCUUUACCUUUGGUUUAAGUACUUAAAAUUAUGUUUGAUUUUUUAACGUAUUUAAAUUAUUACUUUAGUUUGUUAUAUUAAAUA
Molecule: unclassified non-coding RNA, 218 nt
Filed under: Glomus sp.
Lineage: Eukaryota; Fungi; Glomeromycota; Glomeromycetes; Glomerales; Glomeraceae
Description: partial contains 5.8S ribosomal RNA and internal transcribed spacer 2
Rfam family: 5.8S ribosomal RNA (bases 1-71)
Source: RNAcentral